CCCCACUAUGCCCAGCCGUAAACUUUUAUUUACACCUAAAUCGCCCGGGAACUACGAGCAAAGCUUAAAACCCAAAGGACUUGACGGUACCCCACAUCCACCUAGAGGAGCCUGUCCUAUAAUCGAUAAUCCACGUUUAACCUCACCACUUUUAGCCUAUCAGCCUGUAUACCUCCGUCCUCAGCUUACCCCGUGAGUGGAAUCUAGUAAGCUUAAUGCCCCUGCGCCAACACGUCAGGUCAAGGUGCAGCAAAUAAAGUGGGAAGAGAUGGGCUACACUCUCUAACAUAGAGAAUACGAAAGACUACUUAUGAAAUCUAGUCAGAAGGCGGAUUUAGAAGUAAAAAGAAAAUAGAAUGUUCUUUUUAACCAGGCACUGGGGUGUGUACACACCGCCCG
Molecule: ribosomal RNA, 399 nt
Filed under: Proceratophrys melanopogon
Lineage: Eukaryota; Metazoa; Chordata; Amphibia; Anura; Alsodidae
Description: partial 12S ribosomal RNA
Rfam family: Bacterial small subunit ribosomal RNA
Source: RNAcentral